This 448-nucleotide ribosomal RNA is filed under the name uncultured bacterium. RNAcentral's name for it is "partial 16S ribosomal RNA". It matches the Rfam family "Bacterial small subunit ribosomal RNA", at positions 330 to 794 of the family's 1533-position model. The record is from RNAcentral.
UCCAGACUCCUACGGGAGGCAGCAGUGGGGGAUAUUGCACAAUGGGGGGAACCCUGAUGCAGCGACGCCGCGUGGGUGAAGGAGCGUUUCGGCGCGUAAAGCCCUAUCGGCAGGGAAGAAGGAGGACGGUACCUGACUAAGAAGCCCCGGCUAACUACGUGCCAGCAGCCGCGGUAAUACGUAGGGGGCAAGCGUUAUCCGGAUUUACUGGGUGUAAAGGGGGCGCAGACGGCAGCGCAAGCCAGGAGUGAAAGCCCGGGGCCCAACCCCGGGACUGCUCUUGGAACUGCGCGGCUGGAGUGCAGGAGGGGCAGGCGGAAUUCCUAGUGUAGCGGUGAAAUGCGUAGAUAUUAGGAGGAACACCGGCGGCGAAGGCGGCCUGCUGGACCGUAACUGACGUUGAGGCUCGAAAGCGUGGGGAGCAAACAGGAUUAGAUACCCCAGUAGU